UCGGCUUAGAGUUUGAUCAUGGCUCAGGACGAACGCUGGCGGUGUGCCUAAUACAUGCAAGUCGAGCGAAAAGAAGCUUGCUUCUUUUUAGCGGCGGACGGGUGAGUAACACGUGGGCAACCUACCCUACAGAUUGGGAUAACUCCGGGAAACCGGGGCUAAUACCGAAUAAUCCAUUUGCCUCAUGGCGAGAUGUGAAAGGCGUUCACGUCACUGUAGGAUGGGCCCGCGCUGCAUUAGCUAGUUGGUAAGGUAACGGCUUACCAAGGCAACGAUGCAUAGCCGACCUGAGAGGGUGAUCGGCCACAUUGGGACUGAGACACGGCCCAAACUCCUACGGGAGGCAGCAGUAGGGAAUCUUCCACAAUGGACGAAAGUCUGAUGGAGCAACGCCGCGUGAGUGAUGAAGGUUUUCGGAUCGUAAAACUCUGUUGUAAGGGAAGAGCAAGUACGUUGAAAAACGUACCUUGACGGUACCUUAUUAGAAAGCCACGGCUAACUACGUGCCAACAGCCGCGGUAAUACGUAGUGGCAAGCGUUGUCCGGAUUUAUUGGGCGUAAAGCGCGCGCAGGUGGUUUCUUAAGUCUGAUGUGAAAGCCCCCGGCUCAACCGGGGAGGGUCAUUGGAAACUGGGAAACUUGAGUGCAGAAGAGGAUAGUGGAAUUCCAAGUGUAGCGGUGAAAUGCGUAGAGAUUUGGAGGAACACCAGUGGCGAAAGCGACUGUCUGGUCUGUAACUGACACU
This 745-nucleotide ribosomal RNA is filed under the name uncultured Kurthia sp. Its description in RNAcentral is "bacterial SSU rRNA". It matches the Rfam family "Bacterial small subunit ribosomal RNA", at positions 1 to 747 of the family's 1533-position model. The record is from RNAcentral. Lineage: Bacteria; Bacillati; Bacillota; Bacilli; Caryophanales; Caryophanaceae.